This 251-nucleotide ribosomal RNA is filed under the name uncultured bacterium. RNAcentral's name for it is "partial 16S ribosomal RNA". It matches the Rfam family "Bacterial small subunit ribosomal RNA", at positions 524 to 776 of the family's 1533-position model. The record is from RNAcentral.
UACGUAGGGGGCAAGCGUUGUCCGGAAUCAUUGGGCGUAAAGCGCGUGUAGGCGGCCAGGUAAGUCCGUUCUGAAAGCCCGGGGCUCAACCCCGGGAGGCGGAUGGAUACUGCUUGGCUCGAGUCCGGAAGAGGCGAGUGGAAUUCCCGGUGUAGCGGUGAAAUGCGCAGAUAUCGGGAGGAACACCAAUGGCGAAGGCAGCUCGCUGGGACGGUACUGACGCUGAGACGCGAAAGCGUGGGAGCAACAGG